RNAcentral lists this long non-coding RNA (256 nucleotides) under Salvia miltiorrhiza (redroot sage). RNAcentral describes it as "long non-coding RNA (SMIL_LNC009064)". Lineage: Eukaryota; Viridiplantae; Streptophyta; Magnoliopsida; Lamiales; Lamiaceae. The record is from RNAcentral.
UUUUUUCUUUUUAUGGGUGGUGAGAAGACCAGUUUCUGAUGCAACCAGUUUCUGAUGCACAUAUAUUUAUACACGUUCUAUCAACGUGGUAGUUAUCAGAAACCCUAAUUGACCAAACUUAUCCAUCAAGUAAUAUUUAUUUAAACCUUAUAAUUAAGAUAUUAGGGUUUUGUUUUUCUCUUCUUUUUUUUGAUAUUGCAGUAAAUCUUAAUUUGAUAUAGUGAAUAAAAAGAAUAGAAUUAUCCGAUUAAAAAUU